GAUGAACGCUGGCGGCGUGCCUAAUACAUGCAAGUCGAGCGAACAGACGAGGAGCUUGCUCCUCUGACGUUAGCGGCGGACGGGUGAGUAACACGUGGAUAACCUACCUAUAAGACUGGGAUAACUUCGGGAAACCGGAGCUAAUACCGGAUAAUAUAUUUAACCGCAUGGUUCAAUAGUGAAAGACGGUUUUGCUGUCACUUAUAGAUGGAUCCGCGCCGCAUUAGCUAGUUGGUAAGGUAACGGCUUACCAAGGCAACGAUGCGUAGCCGACCUGAGAGGGUGAUCGGCCACACUGGAACUGAGACACGGUCCAGACUCCUACGGGAGGCAGCAGUAGGGAAUCUUCCGCAAUGGGCGAAAGCCUGACGGAGCAACGCCGCGUGAGUGAUGAAGGUCUUCGGAUCGUAAAACUCUGUUAUUAGGGAAGAACAAAUGUGUAAGUAACUAUGCACGUCUUGACGGUACCUAAUCAGAAAGCCACGGCUAACUACGUG
Molecule: ribosomal RNA, 497 nt
Filed under: uncultured bacterium
Lineage: Bacteria
Description: partial 16S ribosomal RNA
Rfam family: Bacterial small subunit ribosomal RNA
Source: RNAcentral